AGAGUUUGAUCAUGGCUCAGAACGAACGCUGGCGGCAGGCCUAACACAUGCAAGUCGAGCGCUCUCUUCGGAGGGAGCGGCGGACGGGUGAGUAACGCGUGGGAAUAUGCCCUUCACUGCGGAAUAGCCUCGGGAAACUGAGAGUAAUACCGCAUACGCCCUUCGGGGGAAAGAUUUAUCGGUGAAGGAUUAGCCCGCGUCUGAUUAGGUAGUUGGUGGGGUAAUGGCCUACCAAGCCUACGAUCAGUAGCUGGUUUUAGAGGAUGAUCAGCCACACUGGGACUGAGACACGGCCCAGACUCCUACGGGAGGCAGCAGUGGGGAAUCUUAGACAAUGGGCGCAAGCCUGAUCUAGCCAUGCCGCGUGAGUGAUGAAGGCCUUAGGGUCGUAAAACUCUUUCGCCAGGGAUGAUAAUGACAGUACCUGGUAAAGAAGCCCCGGCUAACUCCGUGCCAGCAGCCGCGGUAAUACGGAGGGGGCUAGCGUUGUUCGGAAUUACUGGGCGUAAAGCGCGCGUAGGCGGACUAUUAAGUCAGGGGUGAAAUCCCGGGGCUCAACCCCGGAACUGCCUUUGAUACUGGUAGUCUUGAGUUCGAGAGAGGUGAGUGGAAUUCCGAGUGUAGAGGUGAAAUUCGUAGAUAUUCGGAGGAACACCAGUGGCGAAGGCGGCUCACUGGCUCGAUACUGACGCUGAGGUGCGAAAAGUGUGGGGAGCAAACAGGAUUAGAUACCCUAGUAGUCC
RNAcentral lists this ribosomal RNA (743 nucleotides) under uncultured bacterium. Its description in RNAcentral is "bacterial SSU rRNA". It matches the Rfam family "Bacterial small subunit ribosomal RNA", at positions 8 to 796 of the family's 1533-position model. The record is from RNAcentral.